RNAcentral lists this transfer RNA (74 nucleotides) under Adiantum nelumboides. Its description in RNAcentral is "tRNA-Arg". Lineage: Eukaryota; Viridiplantae; Streptophyta; Polypodiopsida; Polypodiales; Pteridaceae. The record is from RNAcentral.
UAAUUGGUCGCUAAAUUAGGGAAAGCGCGUGUCUUCAAUCCACAGAUCCGAGGGUUCGAAUCCCCACCAAUUCA